Ipomoea triloba (trilobed morning glory) is the source of this 350-nucleotide long non-coding RNA. RefSeq lists it as uncharacterized. The transcript has 2 exons. The record is from RefSeq and is a predicted model, not a curated record. Lineage: Eukaryota; Viridiplantae; Streptophyta; Magnoliopsida; Solanales; Convolvulaceae.
CUAAAUCUAAAGACACUUGAGCCGCCAGCAGCAUACCUCCCCUCACUCAGCAGAGGCGAGGACGACGUUGCAGCAGAUUGGACGCUACUUCCCGCCGCCGCUGACGACGCAGCAGAGAUCGACCCCUUCUCUCGCCGCCGUCGCCGACGCAGCAACCGCACGACGCCUCCUCCUGCCGCCGCAACCGAGUCUGCUUUCCGAUUAUUCUAUUAACUCCCGACAACGCAGCAAGAGGCAGUGAAUGAGAGUGCUGGUGACUCAAUAGAUAUACAUUGAUUAUGAGCAUACUCUGUUUUACCAACAAAUAAGUAUGUUGUCAACCAGCAAACUCCAGAGUCGAGAUUGUGUAA